Molecule: transfer RNA, 72 nt
Filed under: Nelumbo nucifera (sacred lotus)
Lineage: Eukaryota; Viridiplantae; Streptophyta; Magnoliopsida; Proteales; Nelumbonaceae
Rfam family: tRNA
About the family: Transfer RNA (tRNA) molecules are approximately 80 nucleotides in length. Their secondary structure includes four short double-helical elements and three loops (D, anti-codon, and T loops).
Source: Rfam by way of RNAcentral
GGGGAUGUAGCUCAAAUGGUAGAGCGCUUGCUUUGCAUGCGAGACGUACGGGGUUCAUAUCCCGCAUCUCCA